UUAAACUAGGGAUUAGAUACCCUAUUAUUAAAAUUUAAAUUUUAAAUACUAAAAUAGUAAGUAAUUAUUUAUUGAAACUUAAAUAAUUUGGCGGUAUUUUAGUUCAUUUAGAGGAAUCUGUUUAAUAAUUGAUAAUCCACGAAUAAAUUUACUUAAUUUAUUAUUUUGUAUAUCGUUGUUAAAAAAAUAUUUUUUAAUAAUUAAUAAUAUUUAAAAAUUUAAAUAUAAAAUUAAAUCAGAUCAAGAUGCAGAUUAUAAUUAAGAAUAUAAUGGAUUACAAUAAAUUUAUUUAAAUGAAUAUUAAUUUGUAAAAUUUAAUUGAAGGUGGAUUUAAAUGUAA
This 340-nucleotide ribosomal RNA is filed under the name Spodoptera mauritia. Its description in RNAcentral is "partial 12S ribosomal RNA". The record is from RNAcentral. Lineage: Eukaryota; Metazoa; Arthropoda; Insecta; Lepidoptera; Noctuidae.